GACCAUCCUCCAAGGCUAAAUACUCCUGACUGACCGAUAGUGAACCAGUACCGUGAGGGAAAGGCGAAAAGAACCCCGGCGAGGGGAGUGAAAAAGAACCUGAAACCGUGUACGUACAAGCAGUGGGAGCACGCUUAGGCGUGUGACUGCGUACCUUUUGUAUAAUGGGUCAGCGACUUAUAUUCUGUAGCAAGGUUAACCGAAUAGGGGAGCCGAAGGGAAACCGAGUCUUAACUGGGCGUUAAGUUGCAGGGUAUAGACCCGAAACCCGGUGAUCUAGCCAUGGGCAGGUUGAAGGUUGGGUAACACUAACUGGAGGACCGAACCGACUAAUGUUGAAAAAUUAGCGGAUGACUUGUGGCUGGGGGUGAAAGGCCAAUCAAACCGGGAGAUAGCUGGUUCUCCCCGAAAGCUAUUUAGGUAGCGCCUCGUGAAUUCAUCUCCGGGGGUAGAGCACUGUUUCGGCAAGGGGGUCAUCCCGA
RNAcentral lists this ribosomal RNA (482 nucleotides) under Escherichia coli. Its description in RNAcentral is "partial 23S ribosomal RNA". It matches the Rfam family "Bacterial large subunit ribosomal RNA", at positions 451 to 934 of the family's 2925-position model. The record is from RNAcentral. Lineage: Bacteria; Pseudomonadati; Pseudomonadota; Gammaproteobacteria; Enterobacterales; Enterobacteriaceae.